GGGCGCCAAGAUCCCUCUGGGAUCUCUUGUUCAUGACGGGGUCACAAUCGAUGACGCAACGAAGUUGAUUGGUGUUCAUGGUUUUAAAAUGUCUCUUGCAGCGUUUAUUUCGAAAUAGCCCGGAUAUGCAGCAUAGACAAUGCAGCUGAUGGUUUUGGAUAGUGCACUUCCAAAUGUAACCUCCACUCUGACGUUUCCUUGUUUUAGCAAGGAACGUACUGAGGUGUAUCAAAUGUUUGACUCCAGUUUGCAAUUUUCUGAGCUUUGACCAUGCGAAGUACAUUUUCCCUCUCACCGUCAAUGAUGGAUUCCCCAGCAAGAUCGCAGUGUUCUACCCAUAGAAAGCGGCUGAAAACAUCGAUGACCAUCAACAAGUACUUCACACCAGAGUUUUGCUUUGACAAUGAUGUCAUGUCGAGUAAAUCUGUGUCAUAUUGCUCAAAUGGUUCUCCAACUUCAAUGCGUGCACGUUUAAAUGAACGUUUAACAGGUUUUUGAAGACUGUAAUCGUCAAGACUUUGAAUAUAUCGUCUAAUUUUAUAUAAACCUGGAGAAUUGUAUCCUUGUGAUUCUAGUACUUGAUGUACUUUUGUUGGACUU
Pecten maximus is the source of this 600-nucleotide long non-coding RNA. RefSeq lists it as uncharacterized. The record is from RefSeq and is a predicted model, not a curated record. NCBI's taxonomy places the organism in Eukaryota, Metazoa, Mollusca, Bivalvia, Pectinida, Pectinidae. The transcript is spliced from 3 exons.